GGGUGGGGGGCGGGGAUAGGGAUGCAGUCGACGAUACCGCAGGUAUAGUGGCAAAAGGGCGAGUAACACGUGAGCAAUCUACCUUCGUGUGGGGAACAACCUUGGGAAACCGAGGCUAAAACCGCAUAAGACCACGGCCUGCAUCAGGCUGUGAUCAAAUGGGGGGACCGCAAGGCCUCUAGCAUGAAGAUGAGCUCGCGUCCUAUCAGCUUGUUGGCGGGGUAAUGGCCCACCAAGGCUUUUGACGGGUAGCUGGACUGAGAGGUUGGUCAGCCGCAUUGGGACUGAGACACUGCCCAGACUCCUACGGGAGGCUGCAGUCGAGGAUAUUUAGCAAUGCCCGAAAGGGUGACUAUGCGACGCCGCGUGUGCGAUGAAGGUCUUCGGAUUGUAAAGCACUGUCAGCUGGGAGGAAUCUCGGGGGAUCGAAUAGAUCCGCCGGGUGACAGUACCAGCAGAGGAAGCCACGGCUAACUCCGUGCCAGCAGCCGCGGUAAUACGGAGGUGGCAGGCGUUACUCGGAUUGAUUGGGUGUAAAGGGCGUGUAGGCGGUGCGCUAAGUCGAGUGUGAAAUCCCUUGGCUCAACCAAGGAACUGCGCUCGAAACUGGCGUGCUUGAGUGUUGGAGAGGUAAGCGGAAUUCCCGGUGUAACAGUGAAAUGUGUAGAUAUCGGGAGGAACACCAGUGGCGAAGGCGGCUUACUGGACAACUACUGACGCUGAAACGCGAGAGCAUGGGGAGCAAACAGGAUUAGAUACCCUGGUAGUCCAUGCCGUAAACGAUGUGCACUAUGUGUCGGCCCCUCUGGGGUCGGUGCCGCAGUUAACACUUUAAGUGCACCACCUGGGGAGUACGGUCGCAAGACUGAAACUCAAAGGAAUUGACGG
Molecule: ribosomal RNA, 888 nt
Filed under: uncultured Bacillota bacterium
Lineage: Bacteria; Bacillati; Bacillota
Description: bacterial SSU rRNA
Rfam family: Bacterial small subunit ribosomal RNA
Source: RNAcentral